AGUGAAAAAGGGGAAAUGAAAAAGUAAAUCAAAAUUAUUGGGUGCAAAAGGGUUAGUUAUAAGGGUAUAGUCGGUGAUAUUUUGUCCAGUCACUGGGUGAAACCCUAUGAAAAAAAAAAAUGUUUUUCUUAUACCAUACAUGACCCAAUGUUCAAACAGAAAAGAGCAAAUAGGUUUGAAUAUUUUUCAAAUUGAACACACCCUGGAGUAUGAUAUAUAUAUGUAAGAGUGUAUGAAGUAUGAACCUAGUUUGUGAAGUUUUCAAAAAGGAGGAAAAGGCUCUCUCUUUCCAUUCAUCAAGCCACAAAUUUGUCAUUUUUCGGCUAUUGAUUGAAGAUGGGCACUUAGUCCUUGCUCCUAUCUCCUUGUCCAGGCUUGACCGUAUCAACCCUAUGUAGCCUCAUCUUUUAUUAUGUAUUCUAUUUUUUAAUCUUUGUGCUAAUGGGUUACGAAUAAAUGAUAAAGUUGAUGCUAAAACGCGUUGAUAUUGAUUUAAUCUUUGACAAAUCGCACGCAAGGGGUAACUGGACCCAUUGCUUUGCAUUGCAUUUGAAUUUUAUUAAUAUCUAUACAUUACACCGAUAUUUGAUGCGUGUAUGUAAAGAAAUAGUUAGCCCUGGUGUAGAAUAUAAUAAUUUGAAAAGGUUCAAUCACCGGCCAAAUGGUUGGUUAUUAUGCAGUAGAUUUAAAUAGGGUCCUAUAAGUUCUGGUUUUUACCAUGAACAGUAAAGUGAUAGGUGAUGAUACAUGGAAGCAGAGAGACAGAGAGAAAGGGAGUUAUGAGGUGAGAAUUUGGGUCAUUUUUGUGGGAUUGUAAUGAGCACUUGGGAGCGGAAUGGCAUUUUCUGAGUGUCUGAACUUCCACCUCACAUUGUUUUGUGAGAAUCAUAAUUAAUAGUCAUGGCCAUGCCAUGUACAGAAAAGUUAGGCAAAAUUGCAUAUCCUAAGUAUUCAGGGGUCCCUUCAGAAGAUGCACUGAUUGAUUAUAACCUUUGAAAUACCAUGGCCAGUUUGCUAGACUUUUAGAAGGGGUUUUUUCCCACUAGCCUAAUUUGG
Molecule: long non-coding RNA, 1056 nt
Filed under: Vigna radiata
Lineage: Eukaryota; Viridiplantae; Streptophyta; Magnoliopsida; Fabales; Fabaceae
Description: long non-coding RNA (VRAD_LNC015474)
Source: RNAcentral